UGGGGAAUUUUGGACAAUGGGCGCAAGCCUGAUCCAGCAAUGCCGCGUGCAGGAAGAAGGCCUUCGGGUUGUAAACCUCUUUUGUACGGAACGAAACGGUCUGCUUUAAUACAGUGGGCUAAUGACGGUACCGUAAGAAUAAGCACCGGCUAACUACGUG
RNAcentral lists this ribosomal RNA (160 nucleotides) under uncultured bacterium. RNAcentral's name for it is "partial 16S ribosomal RNA". It matches the Rfam family "Bacterial small subunit ribosomal RNA", at positions 355 to 507 of the family's 1533-position model. The record is from RNAcentral.